AGUCGAGCGCCCCGCAGGGGAGCGGCAGACGGGUGAGUAACGCGUGGGAAUCUACCCUUGACUACGGAAUAACGCAGGGAAACUUGUGCUAAUACCGUAUGUGUCCUUCGGGAGAAAGAUUUAUCGGUCAAGGAUGAGCCCGCGUUGGAUUAGCUAGUUGGUGGGGUAAAGGCCUACCAAGGCGACGAUCCAUAGCUGGUCUGAGAGGAUGAUCAGCCACAUUGGGACUGAGACACGGCCCAAACUCCUACGGGAGGCAGCAGUGGGGAAUAUUGGACAAUGGGCGCAAGCCUGAUCCAGCCAUGCCGCGUGAGUGAUGAAGGCCCUAGGGUUGUAAAGCUCUUUCACCGGAGAAGAUAAUGACGGUAUCCGGAGAAGAAGCCCCGGCUAACUUCGUGCCAGCAGCCGCGGUAAUACUAAGGGGGCUAGCGUUGUUCGGAAUUACUGGGCGUAAAGCGCACUUA
Molecule: ribosomal RNA, 464 nt
Filed under: uncultured bacterium
Lineage: Bacteria
Description: bacterial SSU rRNA
Rfam family: Bacterial small subunit ribosomal RNA
Source: RNAcentral